RNAcentral lists this ribosomal RNA (440 nucleotides) under uncultured bacterium. RNAcentral describes it as "partial 16S ribosomal RNA". It matches the Rfam family "Bacterial small subunit ribosomal RNA", at positions 338 to 795 of the family's 1533-position model. The record is from RNAcentral.
CCUACGGGAGACAGCAGUGGGGAAUAUUGCACAAUGGGGGAAACCCUGAUGCAGCGACGCCGCGUGAGUGAAGAAGUAAUUCGUUAUGUAAAGCUCUAUCAGCAGGGAAGAAAAUGACGGUACCUGAGUAAGAAGCCCCGGCUAACUACGUGCCAGCAGCCGCGGUAAUACGUAGGGGGCAAGCGUUAUCCGGAUUUACUGGGUGUAAAGGGUGCGUAGACGGCAGUGCAAGUCUGGAGUGAAAGGCGGGGGCUCAACCCCCGGACUGCUCUGGAAACUGUACGGCUGGAGUGCAGGAGAGGUAAGUGGAAUUCCUAGUGUAGCGGUGAAAUGCGUAGAUAUUAGGAGGAACACCAGUGGCGAAGGCGGCUUACUGGACUGUAACUGACGUUGAGGCUCGAAAGCGUGGGGAGCAAACAGGAUUAGAUACCCGAGUAGUC